Molecule: transfer RNA, 73 nt
Filed under: Bacteroidota bacterium
Lineage: Bacteria; Pseudomonadati; Bacteroidota
Also listed under: 1 other name
Description: Bacteroidetes bacterium (activated sludge metagenome) tRNA-Phe
Rfam family: tRNA
About the family: Transfer RNA (tRNA) molecules are approximately 80 nucleotides in length. Their secondary structure includes four short double-helical elements and three loops (D, anti-codon, and T loops).
Source: RNAcentral
GGUGCCUUAGCUCAGCUGGUAGAGCAACGGAUUGAAAAUCCGUGUGUCCCCAGUUCGAUUCUGGGAGGCACCA